Long non-coding RNA from Arabidopsis thaliana (thale cress), 442 nucleotides. RefSeq annotates it as other RNA. The record is from RefSeq. Lineage: Eukaryota; Viridiplantae; Streptophyta; Magnoliopsida; Brassicales; Brassicaceae. The transcript has a single exon.
AUCGCAGGGAGGGAAAUUAGCAGAGCAUCUCUGAGGGAGCUGAAGAGCCAUGGAGCGGUCAAUGCCAGAGAGUGGAGGUCCAUUGGCAAGGAGGCAAAGACAAGGACGACCAAGUGUGACAACGGCAGAGCAACAUAUCUCGGUCGGUGGGAUCGGGCUAAAAGGAGCAACUGCUGCUCUACAUGGUAUGAGCUGUACCAGCGCGGAGAAAAAUGUCCUGCUGCAUCCUCCCACUUCCUCCUCGGGCAACAUUGGUGGUGGAGGUGGUUGUUGCAGGCCCUCUUGCUGCGCUGCAACAAUGGUAAGAACGGUUAUGGUCAUGAGCAGCGUCAUUGCCAACCCAACUCUCAUAGCUUUCAUCAUCAUGUAAACAGCGAUGGUAAUGAGAUGACGCAACAACGAGAUGCUGCUGGUUUAUAUACCAUACCAUAUAAUGAAAGGG